AGAUCGAUGAUGACCCCAAAAAUGCAUUCCUUGGAAAGCUGAACAAAAUGAGUGAGAACUCAUACUGUCGUCAUUCCCAUCAAAAACUGAGGUCC
Small nucleolar RNA from Myotis lucifugus (little brown bat), 95 nucleotides. Its record names the gene SNORD116. It matches the Rfam family "Small nucleolar RNA SNORD116". From Rfam's summary of the family: HBII-85 is a member of the C/D class of snoRNAs, which contain the C (UGAUGA) and D (CUGA) box motifs. NCBI's taxonomy places the organism in Eukaryota, Metazoa, Chordata, Mammalia, Chiroptera, Vespertilionidae. The record is from Ensembl.